This 253-nucleotide ribosomal RNA is filed under the name uncultured bacterium. RNAcentral's name for it is "partial 16S ribosomal RNA". It matches the Rfam family "Bacterial small subunit ribosomal RNA", at positions 524 to 776 of the family's 1533-position model. The record is from RNAcentral.
UACAGAGGUCCCAAGCGUUGUUCGGAUUCACUGGGCGUAAAGCGUGCGUAGACGGUAGCGUAAGUCAGAUGUGAAAGCCCCGGGCUCAACCUGGGAAUUGCAUUUGAGACUGCUCUGCUCGGGUGCGGAAGAGGGAAGCGGAAUUUCCGGUGUAGCGGUGAAAUGCGUAGAUAUCGGAAGGAACACCAGUGGCGAAAGCGGCUUCCUGGUCCGACACCGACGUUCAGGCACGAAAGCGUGGGGAGCAAACAGG